Gossypium raimondii (Peruvian cotton) is the source of this 917-nucleotide long non-coding RNA. RefSeq lists it as uncharacterized. Lineage: Eukaryota; Viridiplantae; Streptophyta; Magnoliopsida; Malvales; Malvaceae. The transcript is spliced from 2 exons. The record is from RefSeq and is a predicted model, not a curated record.
UAACAGAUCCAGAACCAAACUGAAAUCAAAACAAAAUUAAAUGACAGAUUUUAAAAUGAAAUAAAAAUUGUAGCAAAGGACUAAGGUGAAAUGCGCAUCAAGAAUGAGGGACUUAUCGCACAGUAUCCCCCAUCCCGUAUCCUCAUUGAUUUGUGCGGGACCAGAUUGGAACAGGCGAGAAAUUACGUGGCCGAAAUUAAAAGAAAUAAAAGAGUGCUCGCAUGUGUCACAGAAUUGGAGGGACUAAUUAUGUAAAAUACCCAUUAGGGUAAUAAUGCACAGCCCUCUUUCCUUUACACGGCGCCGUUUGAACUUCAACACAAAAGCUAAAGAAAUAAAAGGGAAAUUCCCUUUUUUGCUAGGGUUCCAGGCUUAGCCUUGGAACCCUGCCGCCGUCACGCCUUCCCCUGCCCGGUGGCCGGAGCCAUGCGAGGGUGUCUCCCACCAGCGCGUUGGAGCGCGCUCAGAGACCAAGGCUCUGAAACGGGGAAACGAGGAGAAAACGGAAGGCCUCCGUCCCUUCCUUAACCAGUUCGGCAACGGCGAAGAGCCGAUGAUGACGCCGGAUUCAGGGGCCGAUUCAGGUCUUCUUUUGCAGGUGUUGGAAUGGCUUGCCAUUUUCGUGCAAGGCUUGGCUGGCGGUGGCAGACCUCGGGCGUGGUACGCGCUGAAGGCGCACAUGGAGGCAGCGGCGCCUUAGGGUUUCAAUUCCUGCUGAAACCAGUUAAGGUUUUGGGCUUAUUGGGCCCUGGGUCAUGGGUUUGUAGUUUGGGUUGUAAUUUUGGGCCCGGGCAUAAAUUGGGUCUUACACACCUUAUGCUGGAAAUUGACUUUCUGCUUGUAAAUAUCUAAUUUCCUUUUAGAUAAUACUUUCAGUGGUAUAAAUCUACUACAGUAAUCCAGUGUUCUUUGACUAA